UACAGAGGUCUCAAGCGUUGUUCGGAUUCAUUGGGCGUAAAGGGUGCGUAGGCGGCGCGGUAAGUCGGGGGUGAAAUCUCGGGGCUUAACUCCGAAACUGCAUUCGAUACUGCCGUGCUUGAGGACUGGAGAGGAGACUGGAAUUUACGGUGUAGCGGUGAAAUGCGUAGAUAUCGUAAGGAAGACCAGUGGCGAAGGCGGGUCUCUGGGCCGGUACUGACGCUGAGGAGCGAAAGCGUGGGGAGCAAACAGG
RNAcentral lists this ribosomal RNA (253 nucleotides) under uncultured bacterium. RNAcentral's name for it is "partial 16S ribosomal RNA". It matches the Rfam family "Bacterial small subunit ribosomal RNA", at positions 524 to 776 of the family's 1533-position model. The record is from RNAcentral.